UAUCCUGGGCCCAGACAUGGCCCAUAAAGAGUUGGUCCCUUGAGGCCCACAUAACCUAGACCUCAAGAACCCGAAAGGCCCACAGCCUUUCAACUUAGGGCCCAACUAGCCCUAGAGCCUCCAUGAAGCCCUCAUGAAUGAUGGACCUUGGCCUUAGCCUUGGUCCCCUGGGCCUCGGGCACACCACCUGGAUCAUAAC
RNAcentral lists this long non-coding RNA (199 nucleotides) under Elaeis guineensis (African oil palm). RNAcentral describes it as "long non-coding RNA (EGUI_LNC064652)". Lineage: Eukaryota; Viridiplantae; Streptophyta; Magnoliopsida; Arecales; Arecaceae. The record is from RNAcentral.